GGGGGUUCUUACCACACGUAUCCUCGUCUGGGGGGCCAUUCCGGAGCUUGGAGGAAGCUGAAAAGGCUAUCAAAAGCCAUCUUGAUGGCCUGCGCUCUCCAAUAAUGUGCAGAGAUGGGCUAUCGCCGGUGGAGGUUGCAGUGCGACAUCGCCUUUACUGGCCUGAUGGCACAAGGAAGAAGUCGUCCCAAGGCAAUCCCGGGCGUAGGAAUAUGAACCUAUUGGUUCAAGCUUUACUGGAUAAAUACAAUGAAGAUCACCAUCUUUUGGGGGAUCUUGCAUAUGAACUUGAUAAUGUUGUGUGCUCCCGACAAAUUUACGAGGAGGAGGGCGGCCUUAUUAACAAAUUCUAUCAUAUCAAUUUGACUGCAAAAACCAAAGGAGAUGAUGGUUUUUCACAGUGGCGUCGACAAUCUGUUAUUUGGUGAAAUCACACGAAUAGAAGGCGAAAAUGAAGAAUACAUGCUCAAUUGUUUCUGUAUGGUUAAACCUAUUGACAAUGGCGGAUGCUCAGGUUGUACGAAGUACGGGGAGUAUGAUUUGAAGCACCCUGUUCAUGCUGAUAAAUACAAAGGUGGCCACUCUACCCCGGUCAUUCAAUGUCGUGGUAUCAAUCAUAUUCCUUUCUUGCAACCGGAUGUACCUGUAUACAUCCGGAAUAAGCAGGAUUGAUUGGAGUUUGAGAAGGCUAUGUUGGCGAAGGAGGAGGCUAAGAUAAGAUAUAUAUACGAG
Triticum aestivum (bread wheat) is the source of this 732-nucleotide long non-coding RNA. RefSeq lists it as uncharacterized. The transcript has 4 exons. NCBI's taxonomy places the organism in Eukaryota, Viridiplantae, Streptophyta, Magnoliopsida, Poales, Poaceae. The record is from RefSeq and is a predicted model, not a curated record.